Molecule: ribosomal RNA, 393 nt
Filed under: uncultured Spumella
Lineage: Eukaryota; Synurophyceae; Ochromonadales; Ochromonadaceae
Description: partial small subunit ribosomal RNA
Rfam family: Eukaryotic small subunit ribosomal RNA
Source: RNAcentral
GCUUGUCUCAAAGAUUAAGCCAUGCAUGUCUCAGUAUAAGCUUUUACACGGCGAAACUGCGAAUGGCUCAUUAAAACAGUUAUCGUUUCUUUGGUGGUUAUUGAUUACAUGGAUAACCGUGGUAAUUCUAGAGCUAAUACAUGCGUCAAAACCCGACUCCUGGGAGGGUUGUAUUUAUUAGAUGGAAACCAAUGCGGGGCAACCCGGUAUAUGGUGAUUCAUAAUAACUUUCGGAUCGAUCUUCGGAUCGAUGCAUCAUUCAAGUUUCUGCCCUAUCAGCUUUGGAUGGUAGGGUAUUGGCCUACCAUGGCUUUAACGGGUAACGGAGAAUUAGGGUUCGAUUCCGGAGAGGGAGCCUGAGAAAUGGCUACCACAUCCAAGGAAGGCAGCAGG